This 81-nucleotide transfer RNA is filed under the name Bos taurus (domestic cattle). It matches the Rfam family "tRNA". Rfam says of the family: Transfer RNA (tRNA) molecules are approximately 80 nucleotides in length. RNAcentral also lists the same sequence under 4 other names. The record is from Rfam by way of RNAcentral. Lineage: Eukaryota; Metazoa; Chordata; Mammalia; Artiodactyla; Bovidae.
UCCCCAAUGUCUCAGCAGUAAAAGAAUCUGCCUGCAAUGCAAGAGAGACAGGAGACUCAGGUUUGAUUCCUGGUUUGGGAA